AUUGAACGCUGGCGGCAGGCCUAACACAUGCAAGUCGAACGGUAACAGGAAACAGCUUGCUGUUUCGCUGACGAGUGGCGGACGGGUGAGUAAUGUCUGGGAAACUGCCUGAUGGAGGGGGAUAACUACUGGAAACGGUAGCUAAUACAGCAUAACGUCGCAAGACCAAAGAGGGGGACCUUCGGGCCUCUUGCCAUCGGAUGUGCCCAGAUGGGAUUAGCUAGUAGGUGGGGUAACGGCUCACCUAGGCGACGAUCCCUCGCUGGUCUGAGAGGAUGACCGGCCACACUGGAACUGGGACACGGUCCAUACUCCUACGGGAGGCAGCAGUGGGGAAUAUUGCACAAUGGGCGCAAGCCUGAUGCAGCCAUGCCGCGUGUAUGAAGAAGGCCUUCGGGUUGUAAAGUACUUUCAGCGGGGAGGAAGGGAGUAAAGUUAAUACCUUUGCUCAUUGACGUUACCCGCAGAAGAAGCACCGGCUAACUCCGUG
RNAcentral lists this ribosomal RNA (490 nucleotides) under uncultured bacterium. RNAcentral's name for it is "partial 16S ribosomal RNA". It matches the Rfam family "Bacterial small subunit ribosomal RNA", at positions 30 to 507 of the family's 1533-position model. The record is from RNAcentral.